Molecule: long non-coding RNA, 1145 nt
Filed under: Numida meleagris (helmeted guineafowl)
Lineage: Eukaryota; Metazoa; Chordata; Aves; Galliformes; Numididae
Description: lncRNA (ENSNMEG00000021834.1)
Source: RNAcentral
UCUAAGGUCUAAAAUUAAUGUGGCUAAAACUUGCAACCCACGCCAAGGCUGUUCAGGCCUGGCAGAGUAAAACUGGACAUGCAUUUAUCAACUGCAAAACCCUAUAGGAGGGAGCCAUGGGCUCAGUCUCCAGCUGCCACACAUACCCUCCAGAUGUCAGCACAGGAUUGCACAGCUCCCACCCUGGGACGCAGCUCACUGUGGCCCUCCUCUACUGCACCAUGCACAAGAUAGCACAAGAAAAGCCAAGGCAGAACCCAGGGGAGUGGCUGGCAGCUGUUCAAAGACCAGUCUCUGGAAUAUCUGACAAUGUUGAGCACAAGUGUCCAGGAAAAAGAAAAACAGGUGUGCCUGCAAGACGUUACCAGAUUGCACACAAUGAUGAAGGCAAGGAGUGGGACACCACUAAAUUACAUUCAAAGGCACCCAUCUGAAGAAUCCUCGUUUCUAAAAGCAGGAGCUGUUCUGCCUGUUUGCAGUUUUAGGGACACUAAAACAGUCAUAGUGCCACUGCCAGUUAUAGUGGACACUACCAAUUUCUCCACAGCAAACUCAUGUUAUUCACUCGUUUUUAAAUAAUGGACUUUGAUGGGGAUGCAACAAUGGUUGAGGUGCUGGCAAGCACUGAAACAAAUCAAAAGACCUACAGAUGCAGAAGUUCCCACAAAGUUUUUGCAUGUUUGGAUAAUCUUUGGUUAAACAAGUCUUCCAUAAAAAGAAAAUUUCAAUGUAUUCAGUGAAUGCUUGAAAUAACAAUUGCCUAUGUUCUUACUGUCCAGGAGCGUAAACAAACAAACAGCCAAUUUACAUUUCCCCUAUUACCUUCAGCAAAACCUCUUCUAAAACCAAGUCUCCCAGCCCCUGAUUGCAUCUUGAAUUUCAAUAUUACAAGACAGAUCUAGACUGUGGAAGGGGGAAGAGUUAUGAGUAACUAUUUUAUGAGCUCCUUCUCUUUGAACCUUGCCUCACACACUGUUCACCAGUCACACAGCCUUGCCUCUGAGCUUCUUUGUCAGAAUAUAAUGGGCAGAAGUUGGAAGCACAGCUCAGUUCAUUGUAAGCACUGUGUAAACCUCCAGGGUAAUUGAAAUGAUACAUAUUGCAGGAGUUGUUUGAAUAAAAGAAUAUCCAAAAAGAAAAGAGCA